UACGUAGGUGGCAAGCGUUAUCCGGAAUUAUUGGGCGUAAAGAGUGAGCAGGCGGCAGAUUAAGUUUGAGGUUAAAGCGUGGGGCUCAACCCCAUAAAGCCUUGAAAACUGAUCAGCUAGAGUACGAGAGAUGUGAAGGGAACUCCAUGUGUAGCGGUGAAAUGCGUAGAUAUAUGGAAGAACACCAGUGGCGAAGGCGCUUCACAAGCUCGAAACUGACGCUCAGUCACGAAAGCGUGGGUAGCAAAUAGGAUUAGAUACCCUAGUAGUCCACGCUGUAAACUAUGAGAACUAAAUAUUGCCGCGAGGCAGUGUUGAAGCUAACGCAUUAAGUUCUCCGCCUGGGGAGUACGGUCGCAAGACUGAA
Molecule: ribosomal RNA, 367 nt
Filed under: uncultured bacterium
Lineage: Bacteria
Description: bacterial SSU rRNA
Rfam family: Bacterial small subunit ribosomal RNA
Source: RNAcentral